RNAcentral lists this ribosomal RNA (116 nucleotides) under Escherichia coli. RNAcentral also lists the same sequence under 7 other names. Lineage: Bacteria; Pseudomonadati; Pseudomonadota; Gammaproteobacteria; Enterobacterales; Enterobacteriaceae. The record is from RNAcentral.
CCUGGCGGCAGUAGCGCGGUGGUCCCACCUGACCCCAUGCCGAACUCAGAAGUGAAACGCCGUAGUGCCGAUGGUAGUGUGGGGUCUCCCCAUGCGAGAGUAGGGAACUGCCAGGC